CCUACGGGUGGCAGCAGUGAGGAAUAUUGGUCAAUGGCCGGAAGGCUGAACCAGCAAUGCCGCGUGAAGGUCAGUGCCCUAUGGGCGUUAAACUUCUUUUGUGCGGGAGCAAUAAUGGUCACGUGGGGCCAGACGCGAGUACCGUACACAUAAGCAUCGGCUAACUCCGUGCCAGCAGCCGCGGGAAUACGGGGGAUACGAGCGUUAUCCGGAUUUAUUGGGUUUAAAGGGAGCGUAGAUGGGUUUGUAAGUCAGUUGUGAAAGUUUGCGGCUCAAACGUAAAAUUGCAAUUGAUACUGGGAGCCUUGAGUACAGUAGAGGUAGGCGGAAUUCGUAGUGUAGCGGUGAAAUGCUUAGAUAUCACGAAGAACUCCGAUUGCGAAGGCAGCCUACUAAACUGCCACUGACAUUGAUGCUCGAAAGUGUGGGUAUCAAACAGGAUUAGAUACCCCUGUAGUC
RNAcentral lists this ribosomal RNA (459 nucleotides) under uncultured bacterium. RNAcentral describes it as "partial 16S ribosomal RNA". It matches the Rfam family "Bacterial small subunit ribosomal RNA", at positions 338 to 795 of the family's 1533-position model. The record is from RNAcentral.